UUUUAUAAAUUCGUUUUUCUGCU
This 23-nucleotide small nuclear RNA is filed under the name Arabidopsis thaliana (thale cress). RNAcentral's name for it is "snRNA_15212". Lineage: Eukaryota; Viridiplantae; Streptophyta; Magnoliopsida; Brassicales; Brassicaceae. The record is from RNAcentral.